AACGAACGCUGGCGGCAUGCCUAACACAUGCAAGUCGAACGAGACCUUCGGGUCUAGUGGCGCACGGGUGCGUAACGCGUGGGAACCUGCCCUUAGGUUCGGAAUAACUCCCCGAAAGGGGUGCUAAUACCGGAUAAUGUCUUCGGACCAAAGAUUUAUCGCCUUUGGAUGGGCCCGCGUUGGAUUAGCUAGUUGGUAGGGUAAAAGCCUACCAAGGCGACGAUCCAUAGCUGGUCUGAGAGGAUGAUCAGCCACACUGGGACUGAGACACGGCCCAGACUACUACGGGAGGAAGCAGUGGGGAAUAUUGGACAAUGGGCGAAAGCCUGAUCCAGCAAUGCCGCGUGAGUGAUGAAGGCCUUAGGGUUGUAAAGCUCUUUUACCCGGGAUGAUAAUGACAGUAACGGGAGAAUAAGCUCCGGCUAACUCCGUG
RNAcentral lists this ribosomal RNA (433 nucleotides) under uncultured bacterium. Its description in RNAcentral is "partial 16S ribosomal RNA". It matches the Rfam family "Bacterial small subunit ribosomal RNA", at positions 29 to 507 of the family's 1533-position model. The record is from RNAcentral.